Molecule: long non-coding RNA, 954 nt
Filed under: Homo sapiens (human)
Lineage: Eukaryota; Metazoa; Chordata; Mammalia; Primates; Hominidae
Description: long non-coding RNA NONHSAT223573.1
Source: RNAcentral
AAAAGAAAAGAAAGAAAAAAUUUAAGGAUCCUGGGUGACAGAGGGUAAAACUUUUUUUUUUCUUCUCUCCUUAGGCAUGGAAACCUAAGGUCUGUACCCAAAACUACAGGACUAUUUGACAUCAUAAUAAAACACUGCAGAUAUGAUGCUGAGUAAGAGUAGAAAUGGGAAGACUUGGUUGUGCAGUAACUGAGUUCUUGAAAAGAGGAGAUGCUUGAUGAGGGUGAGUGGAUUACAUCACUGUUUAAUAUCCAAUGGAAACCAAAAGCAAAUGGCUAAGAGUGGAAUAUGUUUACACGAAUUGAGCAAAAUAUUGGGUAGCCAUAGUUUCUGGUGUCUUUGUUUCUUCAUGGCCUUCUUUUUGAAACGUGUAGUCAUGUAUGUGUACACAUUCAUACAAAAAGCUGAUAGUGUCUACUUUACUAAAGUAAUAUUCUUGAGGUCAAAUUUUAAGCUGGGUAGGCAGUCAGGACAAGAACCACAUGGCCUGGUGCCUAGAUUUGCUCUUCUCCAAGACCUUAAGGGUAAGCUUUUUUUCUCUUCUCUCCUUAGGCAUGGAUCACUAAGGUCUGUUCCCAAUACAAGAAGACUCUUUGACAUCAUAAUAAAAUACUGCAGAUACGAUGCUGAGUGAAAAAGAGUAGAAAUGGGAAGACUUGGUUGUGCAGAAACUGAGUUCUUAAAGAGAGGAGAUACUUUAUGAGGGUGAGUGGAUAACCUCUCAGUUUAAUAUCCAAUGGAAACCAAAAGCAAAUGGCUAAGAGUGGAAUAUGUUUACACAAAUUGAGCGAAAUGUUAGGUAGUCAUAGUUUCUGGUGUCUUUGUCUCUUCAUGGCCUUUUUAUUGAAACAUGUAGGGAUGUAUCUGUAAACAUUCAGACAAAAAGCUGAUAGUGUCUACUUUUCUUUCUUUCUUUCUUUCUUUUUUUUUUUUUUUGAGGCAGUGUCUCGCUCU